This 216-nucleotide ribosomal RNA is filed under the name Glomeromycotina sp. Its description in RNAcentral is "partial small subunit ribosomal RNA". The stretch from base 75 to 216 matches the Rfam family "Eukaryotic small subunit ribosomal RNA", at positions 721 to 864 of the family's 1831-position model. Lineage: Eukaryota; Fungi; Glomeromycota. The record is from RNAcentral.
GGGUCAGUAGGUUGGUCGUGCCACCGGUACGUACUGGUCUCACUGACUCCUCCUUCCUGAAGAACCGUAAUGCCAUUAAUUUGGUGUUGCGGGGAAACAGGACUGUUACUUUGAAAAAAUUAGAGUGUUUAAAGCAAGCUAACGCUUGAAUACAUUAGCAUAGACUAAUGAAAUAGGACGAUCGAUCCUAUUUUGUUGGUUUCUAGGAUUGACGUA